CUUGACUGCUUUUUGUGAAGUUAUAUUGCCUGGCUGAAGAUUUUUUCACCGGUUUGGUCUACCUCUACCACAGCCCCACAUCAGCCAGGCCCAGAUUUCAGAGGUUUUGAAAUUGAGUUGAAUCAGCAUCCUGGGAAAAUGGAAGCCUUGUGCUGGACAGAAACACAGGGGUGGAGAAAAUAAUUCUACUGUGAUGCUGCUAAUGUUAUAUGAUAUUGAAGACAUCCACAUGCUUGCUAUUCUCACGCUUAAGAGAUGCAGAAUAUCACACAUCUGCUAGGCAUGACUUAUUGUGGAAGGAUCAGCGUCUUGAAUCAACAAGAACUCGCCAAGGCACUCUGCACCAAUGUUUAUGGUUGCUUUCUUGCUGCUGGUCCUGUAACUUGGUCCUCUGCCAUCUGAAUUACCUUGUCAUUUGUGCUAGUCUUAAUUCAGUUCUUACUGAGUAAUCUGCAAGGAGAAACAUCUAUUGGCUGUAAGAAUAACAGCACAGAACGGAAAAGGAAAGCUUGUCUCUUUAAUCAGUGCUGAAAGAAGAAUGAAUUUGGAUGAAG
Long non-coding RNA from Lagopus leucura (white-tailed ptarmigan), 554 nucleotides. RefSeq lists it as uncharacterized. The record is from RefSeq and is a predicted model, not a curated record. The transcript has 3 exons. NCBI's taxonomy places the organism in Eukaryota, Metazoa, Chordata, Aves, Galliformes, Phasianidae.